UGCCUGCUAUCUCUUACCCAUGUCUUUUGAGUACCUUCGUUUCCUCGGCGGGUCCGCCCGCCGAUUGGACAACUUAAACCAUUUGCAGUUGCAAUCAGCGUCUGAAAAAACUUAAUAGUUACAACUUUCAACAACGGAUCUCUUGGUUCUGGCAUCGAUGAAGAACGCAGCGAAAUGCGAUAAGUAGUGUGAAUUGCAGAAUUCAGUGAAUCAUCGAAUCUUUGAACGCACAUUGCGCCCCUUGGUAUUCCAUGGGGCAUGCCUGUUCGAGCGUCAUUUGUACCUUCAAGCUCUGCUUGGUGUUGGGUGUUUGUCUCGCCUCUGCGCGUAGACUCGCCUCAAAACAAUUGGCAGCCGGCGUAUUGAUUUCGGAGCGCAGUACAUCUCGCGCUUUGCACUCAUAACGACGACGUCCAAAAGUACAUCGGCGAGUGAAGCGGCAACAGCUCAAAUUUGAAAUCUGGCGUCUUCGGCGUCCGAGUUGUAAUUUGCAGAGGGCGCUUUGGCAUUGGCAGCGGUCCAAGUUCCUUGGAACAGGACGUCACAGAGGGUGAGAAUCCCGUACGUGGUCGCUAGCCUUUACCGUGUAAAGCCCCUUCGACGAGUCGAGUUGUUUGGGAAUGCAGCUCUAAAUGGGAGGUAAAUUUCUUCUAAAGCUAAAUACUGGCCAGAGACCGAUAGCGCACAAGUAGAGUGAUCGAAAGAUGAAAAGCACUUUGGAAAGAGAGUUAAAAAGCACGUGAAAUUGUUGAAAGGGAAGCGCUUGCAGCCAGACUUGCCUGUAGUUGCUCAUCCGGGUUUCUACCCGGUGCACUCUUCUAUAGGCAGGCCAGCAUCAGUUUGGGCGGUUGGAUAAAGGUCUCUGUCAUGUACCUCUCUUCGGGGAGAACUUAUAGGGGAGACGACAUGCAACCAGCCUGGACUGAGGUCCGCGCAUCUGCUAGGAUGCUGGCGUAAUGGCUGUAAGCGGCCCGUCUUGAAACACGGACCAAGGAGUCUAACAUCUAUGCGAGUGUUUGGGUGUCAAGCCCGAGCGCGUAAUGAAAGUGAACGGAGGUGGGAACCUUUCGGGGUGCACCAUCGACCGAUCCUGAUGUCUUCGGAUGGAUUUGAGUAAGAGCAUA
Molecule: small RNA, 1124 nt
Filed under: Pleosporales sp. 1 MU-2012
Lineage: Eukaryota; Fungi; Ascomycota; Dothideomycetes; Pleosporales
Description: eukaryotic LSU rRNA
Rfam family: Eukaryotic large subunit ribosomal RNA (bases 334-1124)
Source: RNAcentral